RNAcentral lists this ribosomal RNA (253 nucleotides) under uncultured bacterium. Its description in RNAcentral is "partial 16S ribosomal RNA". It matches the Rfam family "Bacterial small subunit ribosomal RNA", at positions 524 to 776 of the family's 1533-position model. The record is from RNAcentral.
UACGUAGGGUGCAAGCGUUGUCCGGAAUUAUUGGGCGUAAAGAGCUCGUAGGCGGUUUGUCGCGUCUGCUGUGAAAACUCGGGGCUUAACCCCGGGCCUGCAGUGGGUACGGGCAGACUAGAGUGCGGUAGGGGAGACUGGAAUUCCUGGUGUAGCGGUGAAAUGCGCAGAUAUCAGGAGGAACACCGGUGGCGAAGGCGGGUCUCUGGGCCGUAACUAACGCUGAGGAGCGAAAGCAUGGGGAGCGAACAGG